Molecule: long non-coding RNA, 212 nt
Filed under: Lathyrus oleraceus (garden pea)
Lineage: Eukaryota; Viridiplantae; Streptophyta; Magnoliopsida; Fabales; Fabaceae
Description: Pisum sativum (pea) long non-coding RNA (PSAT_LNC041865)
Source: RNAcentral
ACAAAGCAACACUUUAUGCAACAUAUUUUUUUUUUCUUAGUUUUAAUUUUUUUUUUGUUUUAUUUUCUUGUUUAUCAUAAGACUCCUAAGGUAUUUUAUGUUUGUGUUGCGCAAUUUAAGGUCAUCAUUACUACCAUUUGAUCCGAAAAUCGAAAAAAUUGCAUGUGCUCUAAGAAAAGCAACUAGAGAAGCGAGUCAGGCUAAAGGAGAUU